GAGGAGGAUGUCUGAGGUGGACGAGGAGUCGAAACAGUCUCGCAGAAGCAAUCACACCCUCCAUACUUAAGUGCACAAAGAUCCAAUCAUCCGUGCGCAUUGUUCAAGAUAUAUGGAUCUGAUGACCACUCAUUGGCAAUAAGAAACAUGUCGGGAUAUUAUAUGGAGAAGGGCAGCGAAGCGGUAUGGGGUUUUCCUAUGAACUGAAAGCAGAGCUUUCUUGCAAUGGUGGGCACAUGAAAUAUCGACAGAGCAUUAACUUUGCAGCACCGACAAAGCAUCAACGGCAUCAACUUUGCUUGUUAGACAUUAUCCCACUAUCUGCCAGCCCACAAUACCACUCUCCAAACCACAGAAGAUAAGUCUUCUUUUAUUACAAGAUGUUGGCCACAUUUUCUUAAAGCAAGAUAGUUUUAAUAAUUUUUAUUAUUAUACUUAUUCAUCAAAUAUUAGUGUGGAAAUGGGAAGAGGAAAAGGAAAGAGGGCAGCACUGUUAGAAAAGUGGAAGUGUGAUGAUGGGUCGUCUGUGAUGUAUCUUUAAAAGCACAAAGAGAGUGGACAUCACAAAAGAAGAGAAAGUGGAGAAAGCGAGGAUAUGCAUGCAUACGCGGGCACCGCAUACAUUAUUUUUAUUUUUUGCUAGUAUAUGUACUGUUAUCACCAUCUGUAUCUCCGAUAUCAUACCCAGUCAAAAA
This 695-nucleotide long non-coding RNA is filed under the name Malus domestica (apple). Its description in RNAcentral is "long non-coding RNA (MDOM_LNC002599)". The record is from RNAcentral. Lineage: Eukaryota; Viridiplantae; Streptophyta; Magnoliopsida; Rosales; Rosaceae.